AUUGAACGCUGGCGGCAUGCCUUACACAUGCAAGUCGAACGGUAACGGGCCUUCGGGUGCCGACGAGUGGCGAACGGUUGAGUAAUACAUCGGAACGUGCCCGAUCGUGGGGGAUAACGAGGCGAAAGCUUUGCUAAUACCGCAUACGAUCUACGGAUGAAAGCAGGGGACCGCAAGGCCUUGCGCGGACGGAGCGGCCGAUGGCCGAUUAGGUCGUUGGUGGGAUAAAAGCUUACCAAGCCGACGAUCUGUAGCUGGUAUGAGAGGAUGAUCAGCCACACUGGGACUGAGACACGGCCCAGACUCCUACGGGAGGCAGCAGUGGGGAAUUUUGGACAAUGGGCGCAAGCCUGAUCCAGCCAUGCCGCGUGCAGGAUGAAGGCCUUCGGGUUGUAAACUGCUUUUGUACGGAACGAAAAGCCUUCUUUUAAUACAGGAGGGUCAUGACGGUACCGUAAGAAUAGGCACCGGCUAACUACGUG
RNAcentral lists this ribosomal RNA (482 nucleotides) under uncultured bacterium. RNAcentral describes it as "partial 16S ribosomal RNA". It matches the Rfam family "Bacterial small subunit ribosomal RNA", at positions 30 to 507 of the family's 1533-position model. The record is from RNAcentral.